GCUUGUCUCAAAGAUUAAGCCAUGCAUGUCUCAGCAUAAGCUUCAACACGGUGAAACUGCAAAUGGCUCAUUAAAGCAGUUACAAUUUAUUUGAUGGUCACUGUUACAUGGAUAACUGUGGUAAUUCUAGAGCUAAUACAUGCUAAAAACCUCGACUUCGGAAGGGGUGUAUUUAUUAGAUAAAAAACCAAUGCCCUUCGGGGCUCCUUGGUGAAUCAUAAUAACUUAACGAAUCGCAUGGCCUUGCGCCGGCGAUGGUUCAUUCAAAUUUCUGCCCUAUCAACUUUCGAUGGUAGGAUAGUGGCCUACCAUGGUAUCAACGGGUAACGGGGAAUUAGGGUUCGACUCCGGAGAGGGAGCCUGAGAAACGGCUACCACAUCCAAGGAAGGCAGCAGG
This 397-nucleotide ribosomal RNA is filed under the name Cladosporium bruhnei. RNAcentral's name for it is "partial small subunit ribosomal RNA". It matches the Rfam family "Eukaryotic small subunit ribosomal RNA", at positions 30 to 432 of the family's 1831-position model. Lineage: Eukaryota; Fungi; Ascomycota; Dothideomycetes; Cladosporiales; Cladosporiaceae. The record is from RNAcentral.